GUAACAGGCUCCAUGCUCUCUCCACAUCUGUCCCUGUUGACAUGACUACGUGCAAAAAAAAAACCUCCAUGUGCCAUUCUGCAUCUCAUGCAGAGAACAGAUUAUUAUUCUAGAGAGCACGUUCUGGCAAGAUGCAGGAGGGAUCAAUAGUUGGCUUUCGCAGAAGCCCCACUCGAUUCGUCUCGGAGAAGAUCAAUGCCUCGGUUACUCAUCUCAUGCUGGAGAAGAGGCGCAGUCACCGACGUGCCGCCGAUGAGUCAGCGGCAAACCCCGAGCAGAGCACAGGCGGGUCAGUUACACCAGACCGGUACCAUAGGUCUGAUAGUCCGAUAACCUGCGGCCGAGAGAGAUGGCAUCUUCAGUCGCUUGGCAGCCAUGACGACCGUGUCAUUAUCUUCCCAAAACAGACAGUUAUAGUUGACAGUUGGCUGAGCUGCACGACGCUCACAAACUCGACCCACCGACACCGUGACGAGAUGUCUGCUUACAUUCGAAUACAAAUCAAUCAGGCUAUCCAGGACUAUAUGUCAAAAGGCUAGUUUAGUUUGCUUUCAUAGUGUGACAUCAUUCUACAGUGUAAUGUGUUUUUUGUGUUAGUAAGAGCUUGUGUAAAAGAUGCUCUGAGAAACCUGACUAGUGUAGCUCCCACUAUUUACCCGUUUCUUAAAUACAUAAGAAUAAAAUAAUUUCCUCUGUGUGUGUGUGUGCAUGCGUGCGUGAAUGUGUUGGGA
Molecule: long non-coding RNA, 731 nt
Organism: Scophthalmus maximus (turbot)
Lineage: Eukaryota; Metazoa; Chordata; Actinopteri; Pleuronectiformes; Scophthalmidae
Exons: 3
Source: RefSeq, a predicted model, not a curated record